AAUUCGUGACCUUUCUUUCGUAUCUUGCGACACUACGCCUUUCUUCCCCUUUUUCACGGUCACCAUGUGUAUAUCAAUUAAAUAGAAUGCGUUCACGGUCAGUCAUUUCGAAAUUAGAUGUUUAACCGCGCUUAUGACGUGUUUCCGGUAAAGAAAAUAUAGAAAUUGUCGCUAGUGUCAAGGUAUUCGAAACGCGAAGUAGUUUGGCGGGAAUAUAUUUCUAUAAAACGAUGAAAUAUGUAUCAUAUUUUUACGUAUUAUACCAAGAUUUCUUCCGCAUUUAACAAUAGUGAUUAAAUGAAUACCAAACACGGAUAUUAUAGCAGAUUAACAAAAAUAAUUGAUAUCAAUAUCUUUAAUAUAUUUCUACAAAUAAAAAUUAAUUGAUGAUUGCAACUCAAUGUUUAAUAAAAAAAAAGAGUAUAGUGAUAUCGUUUUCUUUCUUCAUAUCUUAAUUCAGAAAGAAUUGUACAAAUUAUAGGAAGAAAUAUCGUAGAGAAGUUGUGUGUAUAUUUGAAAUACCCGCCUGAUACACCCAUCUUUACUGGUUCUCCAGGUACUAACAGGGUAUAAUUUGCAAUUAUUUUCCUAUUUCAACAAGGAAUAACUAAUAACAAUUUAUCUUUACCUUAACUUUAAUGUAAUUCAUUCCUUAAUUAUCAUUUUUAUGUAAUCACAACAUUGCUUAGUUUUAACAUAAACAUUCUUAUAACUAUAAUAUUAUUUGCAACAAUCGUUAAUGAUAAAAAUUGCUGGAGCGGUCUAUAAAAUCGAAGAAAAUUACAUUGAAGAGAAAAAUAAGAAAACAUUAUGUCAAGGAUAAUGACCGAUCGAGUUUUGUAUUAUACAAUUUGAUGUGACCCUAUUCGAUUUGAGGCAGGUAUUACAGUACAGUUCCGUCAUACCGAUCGAUCGUUAUCUCUACACUUUGGUAAUGGUUAUGUAUAUAAUAUGAAUACAUAGAUCAAGUUAUAUCCUCAUCAAUAAGAACAUUUAUUAUCAACAUUUUUUAUAUUUUCAUUUAUUAAUACAAGCAGAAAAUUUUGAUAAAUACAAUUGCGAUAAGGUACAUGUCUUUGGGGUGGUUUCGAGUUUGCGCUGUUUAAGAUACAAGAACGAGAUACAAGGUCAAUCUUUCAUGAAGAAGGAGGUCAACAGGGCGCGACUUGCGUAACCCUGGCGUACGGCCAGUAUGUUACGAAGUACAACGCCAGAGUUCAAUGGAGUAACUUCAAGUAAAGUAUAUUUAUACACCUUGAAGACACGUACAUACGUAGUGGACCUUGUAGAGAAUAGACUAAUGCUAAAAAUGUCCUUUGUCUACAUCAAGUAAAUUCCACUGCGCGUGCAAGUAUUCAUAGUGAGAAUUAAUCAUAUCAACUGAUAUCAGCCGAGCAUAAACCUAUGGAUACUGACAUUUCAGUUAUAACGGGAAAUUCCACAUUUACUGAGUUCAGUGAUAAUAUUCGAUAUACUGUUGUGAUUAUCUACACAAAAACACAUGUAAGCAGAAUGACUCGUGUGGCUCAUAUUAUGCAUUAUAAUCAGUAAUUUGACGACUGUGUAGAUAUAUAUAAAUAAAAA
Long non-coding RNA from Bombus huntii, 1584 nucleotides. RefSeq lists it as uncharacterized. The transcript is spliced from 2 exons. The record is from RefSeq and is a predicted model, not a curated record. Lineage: Eukaryota; Metazoa; Arthropoda; Insecta; Hymenoptera; Apidae.